This 411-nucleotide ribosomal RNA is filed under the name uncultured bacterium. Its description in RNAcentral is "bacterial SSU rRNA". It matches the Rfam family "Bacterial small subunit ribosomal RNA", at positions 29 to 426 of the family's 1533-position model. The record is from RNAcentral.
AACGAACGCUGGCGGCGUGGAUAAGACAUGCAAGUCGAACGGGACUAAAUCUGUAGCAAUACAGGUUUAGUUUAGUGGCGAACGGGUGCGUAACACGUGGGCAAUCUGCCGAGAAGUGGGGGAUAGCUCGCCGAAAGGCGAAUUAAUACCGCAUAUGAUCAGCUAAGACAUCUUAGCGACAUCAAAGCCGGGGUAACCUGGCGCUUCUUGAUGAGCCCGCGGCCUAUCAGCUAGUUGGCGAGGUAACGGCUCACCAAGGCUAUGACGGGUAGCUGGUCUGAGAGGACGACCAGUCACACUGGAACUGAGACACGGUCCAGACACCUACGGGUGGCAGCAGUCGAGAAUUUUUCUCAAUGGGGCAACCCUGAAGGAGCGACGCCGCGUGGAGGAUGAAGGCUUUCGGGUUGU